This is a non-coding RNA of Pristionchus pacificus, 61 nucleotides long. The record is from Rfam. Lineage: Eukaryota; Metazoa; Nematoda; Chromadorea; Rhabditida; Neodiplogasteridae.
UCUCCAUUCCUCACGCUAUCUCGUCUCUCGGACUGGCGAGAGAGUGUGCGAAAUGGAGAGA